AGUUCACGAGAAACAGGGUAUACAGUCUGCUACACAACGAUGGAAGAAAGAAGAGAAAAAGAGAAAGAGAAAAAGAGAUCCUGGCGUUUUCUGCGGGUAGUCUCUAAAGCGAGUCAAUAUCACAAAGCCGCAAUGUUCUUGGAUAUGCUGAAGAAUGUAUAGCAGCGCCAGAUCAGUUAGAUCGAGCGUGUUUCGUUUCGACCAAUUUACGGCAGAAAAAGCAGAAGAAAUAAUAAGAACGAUUUGUUUGGAGAAAAGGUUUCUGCGUUUAUCCUUGAAUGUGUUUGAAGAGUUUUUCAUCAUCAGAUACAAUUUGUCUGGAAUGCAUCUUAAAGAACAAUCGGAAAUGCGUGUCUUAGCUAAUCGUAUAUUUCUCUGCAUCUGAGAAAGAGGAUACAGUGUUUACAUAUUUUAGUAUAAAUUACAAGUAACAUACCGUUUAAUCACAGAUUUCGUGUAGUAGAUAGGCAAUGAGUAGCAGUUUGUAGGCCUGCAAGGUAGACUGAAAAAAACCGGUUUUACUUAAUGACGGACUACCUUCUUUGCAGCCACAAGCCGGACCGAUUUUAACGUAGUUUUUUGGUUUCAAUAAUACUGCGGCAGAAUUAUGAUCUAUUUUCGCAGAAAAUGGCCACUGCGCGUUUUAUUUACGGCAAGUUCGGUAAAAUUAUAUGUAUAUUCAAUUCUACAACAUGUGUCAAUCUGUGAAACUAAAUUACUUUAAUAGACUACUCUUUUUGAAGAAAAAGAUUUUCGUGUUUGUAUUUUUAU
This is a long non-coding RNA of Pseudomyrmex gracilis, 771 nucleotides long. RefSeq lists it as uncharacterized. The transcript is spliced from 3 exons. The record is from RefSeq and is a predicted model, not a curated record. NCBI's taxonomy places the organism in Eukaryota, Metazoa, Arthropoda, Insecta, Hymenoptera, Formicidae.